AUUCAAAUCCUCCUUUGCAGUGAAAUUGUAUCUAUCAUCAUCAGCUUUGCCUAUGAAACCCCCAAGCUGAAACUGAAAAAAGAGGCCUAUCUUGCCAGCAGAUGAACAAAAAUCCAUUCUCUUCUUUGAUUUUAUACCCAUCAUAUCCAUAGCUCUGCAACAAUCUACUUCCCAGUAACAUACUAUGAUAACUCAAUGGAACCUUUCCGAACCCCACGGAUUCGAGCCUCAGUAUCCAUCUCUCGAGCUUUUCGUGCCUCUCUGUCCUCUCCACCCCCUCACAAGCAAUGAUGUUUUUUAUUUCCUCUCCUAAAAGCAUCUUCUCG
This 326-nucleotide unclassified non-coding RNA is filed under the name Hevea brasiliensis (rubber tree). Lineage: Eukaryota; Viridiplantae; Streptophyta; Magnoliopsida; Malpighiales; Euphorbiaceae. The record is from RNAcentral.